RNAcentral lists this ribosomal RNA (253 nucleotides) under uncultured bacterium. RNAcentral describes it as "partial 16S ribosomal RNA". It matches the Rfam family "Bacterial small subunit ribosomal RNA", at positions 524 to 776 of the family's 1533-position model. The record is from RNAcentral.
UACGUAGGGGGCAAGCGUUAUCCGGAUUUACUGGGUGUAAAGGGAGCGUAGACGGCAGCACAAGUCUGAAGUGAAAUGCCGGGGCUUAACCCCGGAACUGCUUUGGAAACUGUGCAGCUAGAGUGCAGGAGGGGUAAGUGGAAUUCCUAGUGUAGCGGUGAAAUGCGUAGAUAUUAGGAGGAACACCAGUGGCGAAGGCGGCUUACUGGACUGUAACUGACGUUGAGGCUCGAAAGCGUGGGGAGCAAACAGG